Molecule: long non-coding RNA, 6037 nt
Organism: Cyprinus carpio carpio
Lineage: Eukaryota; Metazoa; Chordata; Actinopteri; Cypriniformes; Cyprinidae
Source: Ensembl
AGAUUGUGGAGUACAAAGAUGUCCAAGCCUGCUUCUCGUAGCUCUCAGCUGCUGCUGUCGGAUCAGAAGUGUGCUAAAUGUCUGUUGGAGACGUAUGUCAAGCGGAGCCUCAGCCUGAAUGAAGGAUGCAGGAAACAUCAGCUAAAUAAACACAAAUGGCUUAAACCAGACAGGCAGUCCAGACGGGCGUCCAGUGACACCUCCACCCAGCGUUUGAGAGUAGAGAGGCUCCUGAAGACCAGCGAGUGCCCUGAAUGCACAACACCAGAACUUGUCACUAGGAGAAAGAGCACCAAAGCACCAAACAGAACCAAAUCAUUCUUCAGAGGCUUUCUCCACCUCUUCUCUAAGAAGAAGACCGAGCCCAAAGUGAAAGAUGAGCGAGUUACAGAAACAGACUCUGGACAACAUAUGAUAGAACGGGGGCUUCGCUCUUCUCAGAAAGGCUCAUCUGGCCUCAGUGUGAGGAAAAAACACUCUCUGAGAAGGAUCUUCUUUAGCAAUCAAAAUGAUGAGAAAAGAGAGUCCCUGCAAAAGGACUCCUCUCGUGUUCGUGGAGGCGUGGAGGGGCUUUCAGACGUGAGCGUGGACUCUGAUAAUACAUACUUUGAGAAGGUGUCAGAAGAACUGGAGUUGAUUGUGAAGGAGAUUCAGUUCAGUCCAAAAGAAGAUGCUCCGCUUCUCUCUUCUGCUUCUGCAAGAGACUGCAGCUCUUCAGGUGAUGACACUACAGAGAGGAUUACCAGCCUGCUGAAGCAACAUGGGGAUAUUAUUGAUCAGAAAAUAAGCAGGAACAAGAGUGUCCAAGACUUCCUCCAGAAACUGUCUUACAGCUCCUUCCAGCAGCUGGCUGAUCGCUACAUAGCGCAGAUCCCCAGUCCUCUUCCCCAGACCACAGACGCCUCCCCUGAGCUGGUCAGACUCGCCUUCACCCUGGACUUUACCGCCAAAGUGGCUGGAUUGUGCAGCCAGACAGUCGGUCGGAUCAUGGGGUUUGGUAACCAGUACCUUCAGGAUUCCUUCACACAAAUGUGUGCAGCCCACAGACAGGUAAUAAAAGGGCAAAGGUGUAAUUGUUGGAAGUAAAGUAUUAGGCCACAGUUGGGUCUUGUUUUAUGUUACUAAAAUGCACACUUUGUUUCUUUUUGAGUCUGUUUGAGCUCUUAAAAACCAAAGAUGAUUUUUUUUACCCAUGUAAGUCAAUUAAAAGGUUCAUGGUGUAUUCUUUUAUUAUUUAAUUUUACCUUAGGUUCAGUUAUAAUGUUAGUAAAGAUUGUCAUGAUCAAAACUUCUCAGAUUUUCACCCCCUCUGGUCCCUAGCCUUAAAUAGUCCGUAUUUUUUUUUGUGUGUAAACUGAGAAAAAGUUGCUGAUGGUUUUUAAUCAUCCUGUUCUUUAAUGUCUGCAUUAUAAUGUGACAGAGUCAUAAAACAAUUCAUGCUGAAAUGUGUUGCAAAACAGGGAUCUUGGGUCUCAUUCACUAAUAAUCGUGUGGAUUCCUAAUUCACAACAUCUAUGUACGUACACAAAUAUGCUCUUAACCUUGUUCUAAUGUUAAUGAUUUUGGAGCAUUCUGAAUGAACAAACGCAUGUCUGAGGUCAGUCAUUUGCAUAUUUUUUAAUCACGUAGGACAUGAUGGAAAUAGUUCUCAAAUUGUAGGCCUCUCGCUCUGGUUGGAUAUAUAUAGCUGUCACCACUAGCUGAUGUUCAGGGCCACCUAUGCAUUUAAACACACCCAGAUCUUCAUAAGAGGCCUUUCCACACAAUCUUUCCUUUACAGCCUUUCGUCACUCUAAGCAAACAUAUGAGGCUUUCUAAAGAAACGCUCUCAUCUGAGACAAGUGUAGCAGGAUUCAAACAAUGGCGAGUGUGUUAUCCUUAAAACCAGUUUAAAAACACAACAAACACUUUUAAUACACACCCAGACUACAGACGUAUUAUUAGUCACCAGUACAUAUGCAUAUUUGAGUUUUUAUGCAGAGGAACCUCGCAGCUCAAGCCAUAAUGCAGGUUUUUACACUUUGUGUAUUUGGUGAAAUUUAAUUAGCCAUUUAAAAAUAUAUAUGCAUAAAAUUUAAUCUAUAAGGCCACCCAGAGUAUGUGAUUUUUUUUUUUUUAAGUACAUUGUACUAUAAAAAGCUAUUGGUGAAUCAUCAUGUGUUUGUGAAAACAUUUGCACAAAUGUGUGUUUGCACAGUGUGAACUGUUUACAAAUUGCUCAUUUGCAGAAGGAUAUGCAGAGCAGCAGGUGCUACACACCACCAGAAACAGCACAAGAUUUGGCAGACAUUUCUGCAUUAUUAAUAGAUUAUGGUGAAUUAAAGCACAGUGACUGGGCCAAGUUUCUGUUCACCAAAUGGGUUAAUGUGUGCAUUUAUGCUAAUGCAUGUUAUGUCUGUGACAGGAAAAUUUUGCAGAAGCAUUGGUUGUUUUUGUAGCUCGUUUACAAUAGAUGCUUAUUUUUCCACUGGGGAGGAAGUUGUUUUGAAAUUUAAGGUUUUUCAUUAUAACUCAAACUUUUAGUUUUUAAGUACGUUAGAUAUUAAGUUCCAGUUGUUUCCUGAUUUUGUUUCCUAUUUCUUGUAAAUGGUUUUAAACUGUUUAUUGUAAGUGGUUUGUUCUGAUAUCAUGUUUUUCAUUUCCUGCUAGGUGCCAGAAGAUUUGGAAGAACAGAGUACAAGUGAUACAGACUGACUGUGAAGUCAAAAACGACAAAAAAAAAAAAAGAUAAAAAGUGCAAUAGAGUUAACUCAGGGGGGGGGGAAACUGAUGUAUUUGUAGCUGCUUUUGUGAAUAAGCCAAAUUUAGUAGUUUGUUUAUACUAUAAGUUUACAGUGACUGACUGUGAAAAUUACAACAGUUGAACCUGAUACUAAAACUGUGAAUAAUAUUUGUUUUUUUUACACCAAAUUAGCAUAUUCUACUGAUUUCUGAAUGAUAAUGUGACAUUGAAGACUGAGUAAUGACUGCUUAUUUUAAAUUAUAAUUGAGCUAUUUUAAAAUGUAUUAAAAUAGAAAAAAGUUCUGUUAAAUUGUAAUAACAUUUCAAAAUAUUGCUGUUUUUACUGUAUUGUUAAUUAAAUAAAUGCAGCCUUGGUAAAUAUAAGAGACUUCUUAUAAAAACAUUUUUUAAAAAUCAUACCGGCCCCAAACUUCUGAUCCGUAGUGUACAUUGGAGAUAUUUUGGAGAUAAAUGUGUGACAUUGAGGCUAAACCAUGGAAAACUGAACGUUUAUUGGGGCUGUGUGGAACCUCAUUUCAGAAAUGAUAUUUACGCUAAACAACAUUACACAUGGGUAUAAAAUGUAAGAUAUGGAUCACAACAAUCAUGUGUUAUUUGGCUAGAUCAGGUUGAGCAUCUCCUUGCAUAUAUGGCAUUUCUAAAAGGUAAUUUGUCAUGUUUUUUUAACUGAGGAGAUGGCAUCAGUAUGCUGCAGAUGCAUCAUACGACUGCAUGAUUGAGGCCCAUGUUUCAAUAUACUCUGUUGUGCCAUUGUGCUACAAUCAUUUAGUAAAACCACAUUUGGUUUCUUUUGCAGAGUUUAUGUCUUUAUAAAUGGUUGCCAUGAAAUAAUGGCAGCAUUUGUUAGUGGAUGUGAAUGGCAGCAGUGGCGUCUGGAAUGGUAUUAGCCACCCUUGACAUUUCAGUGCAUCCUGUAUAAAGUUGCACAUUCUGCUUUGAGCACCACUGCUAAUCGAUCUCAACUGAUUCCUGGAGCUUGAAGUCAGAGCUUGAUGAAAGUCCUGUGAUCCAACCACCUAAUUAACCUAACAGCUGUGGCCAUACAACACAGGUAUCCUAUAUAUUUUGAACUGAUUAAAAAUCUGCUUUUAAAUUAGACCAAAAUAAAUAAAUGCUAAGGCAUACAUCUAUAUAUAUAUAUAUAUAUAUAUAUAUAUACACACACACACAUAUUGGUCAGAAAUGUUCUUUGGCACAAAUCAAUAAGAUUGUAAUUUUAAUGUAAAGUUUUCAUUCCUUUUGGUGGCCAUUCAGCUGUAUAUUUCCACAUAUAAAAGCCUGUUUUAAAUGUGUGAGAAAAAUAUUAAGUGUACUAUUGAGCAAACAACACCAACAAGUGGCUAUUUUAUUUUCAUAAUACUAAAGCAAAAUGUUAAAACGUUGACAGCAUAACUGAGAUUGAUAUUUAUAAAUGUAUUUUUUCCACAAAACUAUAUGAAGAUCUGUAUGUUUUUCUUACUGUUACUACUGUUAACCUUAAACUUUGAGUAACCUUAAACAUCUCACAUUGCUUACAUGUUUUUAAUUUCUUUUCACAUCGGCCACGUGCCGCUGUAAUGUGUGCUGCACCUCUGUCUUGCGUCUUCUCCACUUGCUCUCUGUCUCUAGUGAAAACAGGAGCGUGUAGAGCUUUGGGAGGGUCUGUGCCAUGGAGGGACUCGGUGGGAGAACAGCAAAGACGCGCCCAUUCAGAUUCGAGGAGGUCAUCGUGUGUCUCUCAGACAGCUCUCUGCGUCUGUGCUGCUCAGGGUGAACUUGCACAAGUAUAAAACUGAUCAGACUCAGCAUCCUUUGCAAAAGACAGAAGACGGUUAUGAUUUUUUUUCCACAAUGGUAGCAUUAACAAUUAACAGCAGAAAACCUUUUUUAUUUUUAUUGUGUGCUUACAUAUCUCCAAAGGCUUUUCUUGUAGAGGACAGUACAAUUUUGAGUGUAAAAAUCAUGAAGAUCUUAAUCCCAUGCCAGAGCCAGUAUGCCACAGUCAUAGCAUUAGUGAUCCGUUUCUGAUAUCUGCAAAACCACAAAUCACAAGUGCUCAUGAGCAGCAUAAGAAUGUUGCCUUUUAAAAUAAAACCUUGUAGGUCAGGGGUGUCCAAAGUCCAGCACGUGGGCCAAUUGACCCUUCACAAAGAACCGCCCCCCUUUGUUACUGCUAUGUAUUAGGUUUAUAGAGAAUUUUAUUUAAAAUAUUUAUGUAGCCAUGUAUUAAGGGAAUAUAAUGAACAGACCAAAUUACAGACAUUUUUGUCAUGAGCUAGCUGUUUUGUGCAUUUGUAUUUAUACUAAAUAAAUGUGUUUAUAGACUAAAUACCAUGAAGCCAUUCUAUACCACAGAAACCAAAUGUUUUUUUUUUUUAUUAUUAUUAUUAUUUAUUAUUAUUAUUACCAUGCUACAAAGGUGCCAAGUGUGGUUUUACCUUUGGUCAUCAUGAUCUAAAUGUAUGAUACUAUGGAAGGCCAGUGUUUAAUUUUUGUAGGGAUUCUAGUACUCAGUAAGAAUAUUAAAUUUUAACCUUUAAAAACAAUGUUGUUAACAUUUUUACAGAUGUUGCGGCCACCCCUGUUUUAGGCUCUGUGUAUUAUUAAUUUUUCGCUUUUCAUUUUCACUUUUAUGCAUUUAAAGUAAACUAGUGAUGUACCAAAAUGGAUUUUAUACUGAAACCAAUGUUUAUUAAAUAAUCGUUUAAUUAAUUAGUUUAAAGUUGUAUAAACGUAUAAAUUGCACAUAAGGCUGCUUUUAUAUUUAGGAUAUAAUUAUUUUACUACUCCAAUUAAUGGUAACUAGGGAGGUGCUGGUGUAAAAUUUUCCUGUUGCGAUUAAUUGCUAAUGCUUUUAUCACAGUAUACGGUAUUAUCACAGUAUUGAAAUUUAGUUGCAUAAAAAAGUAGUCAUAAUACAGUGUAAUAGGUUUAAUAACUUUUUUUUUCCUAUAACAGAAAUAACUGAACAUUUAAAUACAAUAAAGAAAUACACAAAAAUUUAUAAAGUAAAAAAUUUUACACGGAUGAAAGUGCAAAAAAAUUAUAAAGACCAAUAGCCUAUCGCUUUACAAUAAGACCUCAUUAGUUAACCUUAGUUAAUGCAUUAACAUCCACAAUGAGCAAUAGCUACAUUUGCUACAGAAGAUAUUAAUCUUUGUUAAAAAAUACAAGUCUUAGUUCAUGUUAACGCAGUUGCAACUUUUGAUUUUAACAACGUGUUAUUAAAUAUUGGAAUACCUAAGAUUCCCUUUCAAGGGAACUUUGAACUGCGUCCUCUAGGGGCCGCUAUGGGGAGCUAGAGGAUGCAGUGUC